Molecule: long non-coding RNA, 262 nt
Filed under: Elaeis guineensis (African oil palm)
Lineage: Eukaryota; Viridiplantae; Streptophyta; Magnoliopsida; Arecales; Arecaceae
Description: long non-coding RNA (EGUI_LNC012276)
Source: RNAcentral
AUCUAGAAUUAAGAUACUAAUUUCAAUUAUAAGAAAUGAAUGGUUCUAAUUCAAAUCAAGCUUUUGGUAUUGACCUUUCUCUUAUGAAAUGAUUUAAUUAUAAAUUUGCAUCGAGAAUUAGAAUAUUGAAAAGCUCGACGGUGAGAUUUGAACUAUGAAUUUCAAGUAAAAAAUUUAAGGACUUGAGCAAAAAAAUUUUCAAGGAUGAAAUUUCUUUUUAGAGGGGGAAUGUAAUACCCAAAACCCUAUAAAAAAAUGGGGG